CUUCAUCAUAAUUGCAUCAUCUGCAAAGAGCCUGUUUCCAAACAUGAUGGUUAAUACUGAGUGUCUACUUAAUUGGAUUGAAGGAUGCAAAGUAUUGCUCCUGGAUGUGUCUGUGAGGGUGUUGCCAAAGGAGAUUAACAUGUGGGUCAGUGGACUGGGAGAGGCAGACCCACCCUCAAUCUGAGUGGGCACCAUCUAAUCAGCUGCCAGCCAGCCAGGACAAAAGCAGGCAGAGGAACAUGGAAGGACUGGACUUACUGAGUCUUCUGGCCUCCAUCUUUCUCCAGUUCUGGAUGCUUCCUGCCCUCGAACAUCAGACUCCACAUUCUUCAGCUCUUUGACUCUUGAACAUACACCAGUGAUUUUCCAGGGACUCUCAGGCCUUUGGCCACAGACUGAAGGCUGCUCUGUCGGCUUCCCUACUUUUGAGGUUUUGGGACUCACACUGGCUUCCUUGCUCUUCAGCUUGUAGAUGGCCUAUUGAGGGACUUCGCCUUGUAAUCAGAAGCAUUACCUGCCCCAGAGGCUACCUGCCACUCAGUGAAGAUCAUAUGCCUAAGUCAUGACAUCAACAUCAAACUCUCUUCAAAUCUGGGAGAAAGGCUCAGCUCUUACAACCAGGACAAGAAGAAAUGACACCAGUAGAGAGAUCAUUUGGUGAGCAGCAGGGUUGAAAGAGCCUCAAACCAUGGAGAGAGAGCCUGGAUCUCGAGUAGAAAGGCUUCUGGCACUGAAGAAGUCAAACAGGAUCCCUGAGAGGGAAAAAGCCAGGAGCUUGGGGAAUUAUCUUCACCAAGGUCUGUCUAGAGAUGUGGUUGGCAGAUUUAUGACCCCCAAAGAUGUCUACAUCCUAAACCCAGGAAUCUGUUGCUAAGACUGAGUAAAACAAGAAAAGCAAUGGGGAACCUCACUCACAUCCAUGCUUCCUUGUCUCAUCUGUAUGUAUGAUUUUUGCACAACUUAUUUGAUACUUUGGACAUAAAGCAAGGUAAAGUACACUCGAAUUGAGUCCAAGGUGAUAUUACUACCAAUCCUUUAAUCCAAGCUUUAUUUAGUGGUUGAACUUAGCAAAAUUUACUUGGUAAAUUCACAUGAAAUAUCAGAACCAAUCGUAGAUGCCUCAGGGAGAUAGGGUGGAAUAAUUGAAAGGGAGAGGAAGUAUCCCUAUUUAUGUUAUUUUUGUAGCUGUGAAGUUUUAAAUCUGUUGAGAAAAAUCUUGCUUCCAUAUUAAGAGAUCAUGCCUAAAAGUAGAAAAGAAAAAAAGAAAAGCAGAGUGAGAGAUGGAGAAAGACCAGGU
RNAcentral lists this long non-coding RNA (1297 nucleotides) under Homo sapiens (human). Its description in RNAcentral is "HSALNT0165584". The record is from RNAcentral. Lineage: Eukaryota; Metazoa; Chordata; Mammalia; Primates; Hominidae.